UGAUUACGGGUUUGGGUGGUAUCCAUACUAAUAGAUUUGAGGAUUCUACAGCCGUCGCGGCAGCGGCAGCUGCAGCCAACAAUGGGGAGGUUGCCAUUAGGAUAAUAGGUGCAGGAGAACAUGAGCAUGAUACGGAGGGCUCUGGAUUGGUAGUUGGGCAGUUGGGUGCUCAGAGUGAGGUGUCUGUGCAGCAGCCAAUGGUUGGGAUGGAAUCUGAUGUUCAGGGAGAUUCUAGAAAUGAUCG
This 244-nucleotide unclassified non-coding RNA is filed under the name Hevea brasiliensis (rubber tree). Lineage: Eukaryota; Viridiplantae; Streptophyta; Magnoliopsida; Malpighiales; Euphorbiaceae. The record is from RNAcentral.